UGAUCCUGUGCUCAGAUUGAACGCUGGCGGCAUGCCUUACACAUGCAAGUCGAACGGCAGCACGGGGGCAACCCUGGUGGCGAGUGGCGAACGGGUGAGUAAUACAUCGGAACGUGUCCUGUAGUGGGGGAUAGCCCGGCGAAAGCCGGAUUAAUACCGCAUACGAUCUACGGAAGAAAGCGGGGGAUCGCAAGACCUCGCGCUAUAGGGGCGGCCGAUGGCAGAUUAGCUAGUUGGUGGGGUAAAGGCCUACCAAGGCGACGAUCUGUAGCUGGUCUGAGAGGACGACCAGCCACACUGGGACUGAGACACGGCCCAGACUCCUACGGGAGGCAGCAGUGGGGAAUUUUGGACAAUGGGGGAAACCCUGAUCCAGCAAUGCCGCGUGUGUGAAGAAGGCCUUCGGGUUGUAAAGCACUUUUGUCCGGAAAGAAAACCUUUGGGCUAAUACCCUGAGGGGAUGACGGUACCGGAAGAAUAAGCACCGGCU
RNAcentral lists this ribosomal RNA (490 nucleotides) under bacterium PML47. RNAcentral's name for it is "bacterial SSU rRNA". It matches the Rfam family "Bacterial small subunit ribosomal RNA", at positions 14 to 498 of the family's 1533-position model. The record is from RNAcentral.